CCCCUUUCUCUCUCUUCCCCCUCAUCGUUCCCAACCCCCGCGGCGGCGCCAAUGACGACGGAGAAGGAGAGGGAGAAUCACGUCUACCUCGCUAAGCUCGCCGAGCAGGCGGAGCGAUACGACGAAAUGGUUGAGAGCAUGAAGAAUGUUGCUCGACUUGAUUUGGAUCUGACUGUUGAGGAGAGGAACCUCCUUUCAGUGGGCUACAAGAAUGUUAUUGGGGCUCGCAGAGCAUCAUGGCGCAUUAUGUCCUCUAUUGAGCAGAAAGAGGAGUCAAAAGGGAAUGAUCAAAAUGUUAAACUUAUCAAAGGCUAUCGCCAUAAGGUUGAGGAGGAGCUCUCUAAGAUAUGCAAUGAUAUACUGACUGUCAUUGAUAAGCAUCUUAUUCCUUCUUCUGGCUCUGGGGAAGCCACUGUCUUCUACUACAAAAUGAAGGGUGAUUAUUACCGCUAUCUGGCUGAGUUUAAGAAUGAACAUGAAAGGAAAGAAGCUGCUGAUCAGUCGAUGAAAGCUUAUCAGGCUGCUUCCAACACAGCCAACACUGAUCUUCCCUCGACUCAUCCCAUUCGACUUGGGCUUGCUCUCAAUUUCUCAGUCUUCUAUUAUGAAAUCAUGAAUUCUCCUGAAAGGGCGUGCCAUUUAGCAAAGCAGGCCUUUGAUGAG
Molecule: unclassified non-coding RNA, 663 nt
Filed under: Hevea brasiliensis (rubber tree)
Lineage: Eukaryota; Viridiplantae; Streptophyta; Magnoliopsida; Malpighiales; Euphorbiaceae
Source: RNAcentral